Molecule: ribosomal RNA, 92 nt
Filed under: Legionella spiritensis
Lineage: Bacteria; Pseudomonadati; Pseudomonadota; Gammaproteobacteria; Legionellales; Legionellaceae
Source: RNAcentral
UCCUGGCGAUUAUAGCCGUGUGGAACCACCUGAUUCCAUCUCGAACUCAGAAGUGAAACGCACGUACGCCGAUGAUAGUGUGGGGUCUCCCC